ACAUUUUCUCGGCCCUGCCAGCCCCCAGGAGGAAGAGUGGAAAGGACAAGGAUGCCGUGGAUAAAUUGCUCAAGGACCUGGACGCCAAUGGAGAUGCCCAGGUGGAUUUCAGCGAGUUCAUCGUGUUCGUGGCUGCAAUCACGUCCGCCUGUCACAAGUACUUUGAGAAGGCAGGACUCAAAUGAUGCCCUGGAGAUGUAGAUUCCUGGCAGAGCCAUGCUCCCAGGCUUCCCAAAAGCGUUUGUUGGCAAUUAUUCUCCUAGGCUGAGCCUGCUCAUGUACCUCUGAUUAAUAAAUGCUCAUGAAAUGA
Molecule: small RNA, 310 nt
Filed under: Pongo abelii (Sumatran orangutan)
Lineage: Eukaryota; Metazoa; Chordata; Mammalia; Primates; Hominidae
Description: processed transcript
Source: RNAcentral